This 382-nucleotide ribosomal RNA is filed under the name uncultured bacterium. RNAcentral describes it as "bacterial SSU rRNA". It matches the Rfam family "Bacterial small subunit ribosomal RNA", at positions 1 to 372 of the family's 1533-position model. The record is from RNAcentral.
GUUGGGAUUAGAGUUUAGAUCCUGGCUCAGAUUGACCCUUGCAUAAAGAGGGCAUGCCUUACACAUGCAAGUCGAACGGCAGCACGGGAGCUUGCUCCUGGUGGCGAGUGGCGAACGGGUGAGUAAUACAUCGGAACGUACCCAGGAGUGGGGGAUAACGUAGCGAAAGUUACGCUAAUACCGCAUAUUCUGUGAGCAGGAAAGCGGGGGAUCGCAAGACCUCGCGCUCUUGGAGCGGCCGAUGUCGGAUUAGCUAGUUGGUGAGGUAAAAGCUCACCAAGGCGACGAUCCGUAGCAGGUCUGAGAGGAUGAUCUGCCACACUGGGACUGAUACACGGCCCAUAUUUUUUAUUGGAGGCAGCAGCGGGGAAUUUUGGACAAU